Molecule: transfer-messenger RNA, 375 nt
Filed under: Saprospiraceae
Lineage: Bacteria; Pseudomonadati; Bacteroidota; Saprospiria; Saprospirales
Also listed under: 1 other name
Description: JADKKF01 sp016718505 Standard tmRNA
Rfam family: transfer-messenger RNA
About the family: Bacterial tmRNA, also known as 10Sa RNA or SsrA, is named for its dual tRNA and mRNA-like properties. Its role is to liberate the mRNA from a stalled ribosome. To accomplish this part of the tmRNA is used as a reading frame that ends in a translation stop signal.
Source: RNAcentral
GGGGCUGACUGGAAUUGACAGUAGAGGAUAGCAGGUCAGUAAGCAUGUCGGAGCAAGAUUGUUCACUCCGUUAACAAAUGAUGAUCGAAACUUUAAGUGGCGAAAAUUCUUUCGCGAUCGCUGCCUAAUCAGAGAUUAGAAUGCGUUUGUGCCCUGCGCUUGAUACCUGAUACACAGCGUACCGCACAUCAACCCAAAACCUCAGGUUAGCUUAAAGUAGGGCCUCGACCUUGAAGCGAAAAUUUAGAGGAUAAGGUUUUGAGAGGACUGUACUGGAUCCGAUCAAAGCACGAAUAAAUCAAUCCAGAACUAAACAUGUAGAAAGCUUUCAGGCACUUUAUCUGGACGAGAGUUCGAAUCUCUCCAGCUCCACAA